GCCCGGCUUGUUAGGUCGCAGCGAAAGUGAAGGAGCAAAAGCGUUGGAGGGAAAACCGUACUUCUCUGUCCAAGAGAGAGGCCAGGGUCACUCGCUUACCAAGAGAAGAUGCAGAAAUCCCAUUUAAUAGGCUCCACUGAGUUUGUCCCCCCCGAGAAUAGAGAAGUGGUCUCUGAUGCACACGAGGAGAGGUCCCACCAGGACAUGACACACAUGGACAGACG
Polypterus senegalus (gray bichir) is the source of this 224-nucleotide long non-coding RNA. RefSeq lists it as uncharacterized. Lineage: Eukaryota; Metazoa; Chordata; Cladistia; Polypteriformes; Polypteridae. The transcript has 3 exons. The record is from RefSeq and is a predicted model, not a curated record.